RNAcentral lists this ribosomal RNA (253 nucleotides) under uncultured bacterium. RNAcentral's name for it is "partial 16S ribosomal RNA". It matches the Rfam family "Bacterial small subunit ribosomal RNA", at positions 524 to 776 of the family's 1533-position model. The record is from RNAcentral.
UACGGAGGGUGCUAGCGUCAUCCGGAAUCACUGGGCGUAAAGGGCGCGUAGGCGGUUUGUUAAGUCCGAUGUUAAAGACUGGGGCUCAACCCCAACACUGCGUUGGAUACUGGCAGACUGGACGGUUGGAGAGGCGAGUGGAAUUACCAGUGUAGCGGUGGAAUGCGUAGAUACUGGUAGGAACACCCAUUGCGAAGGCAGCUCGCUGGACAACACGUGACGCUGAGGCGCGAAAGUGUGGGGAGCAAACCGG